Molecule: ribosomal RNA, 302 nt
Filed under: uncultured bacterium
Lineage: Bacteria
Description: partial 16S ribosomal RNA
Rfam family: Bacterial small subunit ribosomal RNA
Source: RNAcentral
GCAGCCGCCACGGUAAAACGGAGGGUGCAAGCGUUAAUCGGAAUUACUGGGCGUAAAGCGCACGCAGGCGGUUUGUUAAGUCAGAUGUGAAAUCCCCGAGCUUAACUUGGGAACUGCAUUUGAAACUGGCAAGCUAGAGUCUUGUAGAGGGGGGUAGAAUUCCAGGUGUAGCGGUGAAAUGCGUAGAGAUCUGGAGGAAUACCGGUGGCGAAGGCGGCCCCCUGGACAAAGACUGACGCUCAGGUGCGAAAGCGUGGGGAGCAAACAGGAUUAGAUACCCGCGUAGUCCCUGUCUCUUAUAC